UAGAAUCCUAGCACUAGAGCUUGGAGAAGAAGAAGGAGGAGCUUGAGGAGGGAUUUUUGGUGGCUUUGGUGGUCCUAGAAGCACUCCAACAAGAAGGCUUUGGUGGAGCUUGGGCAAAAGUGAGUCCUUAAGCAAAAAUGAGUCUAGGGUUUGGGUUUAGACCUUAGAUUUUUGGGUUUUGAUCUCUCUACAAGUGAGGAAACCCUCUAGAGACCUUGAAACUAUGAAAUCCAUGGUUGUCUUGGACUCCUCUCAUGGUGAACUUCUAGGGUUCAUCUUGGAUGCCCUAGAAAGGGCUUAGUUGACCUUAAAUGAGCACCUAG
This 323-nucleotide long non-coding RNA is filed under the name Ananas comosus (pineapple). RNAcentral's name for it is "long non-coding RNA (ACOM_LNC043617)". Lineage: Eukaryota; Viridiplantae; Streptophyta; Magnoliopsida; Poales; Bromeliaceae. The record is from RNAcentral.